CGGGGAGAUCAACAGGGAUUGCCCUAGUAACGGCGAGUGAAGCGGCAACAGCUCAAAUUUGAAAUCUGGCUCUUUUAGAGUCCGAGUUGUAAUUUGCAGAGGGCGCUUUGGCUUUGGCAGCGGUCCAAGUUCCUUGGAACAGGACGUCACAGAGGGUGAGAAUCCCGUACGUGGUCGCUGGCUAUUGCCGUGUAAAGCCCCUUCGACGAGUCGAGUUGUUUGGGAAUGCAGCUCUAAAUGGGAGGUACAUUUCUUCUAAAGCUAAAUAUUGGCCAGAGACCGAUAGCGCACAAGUAGAGUGAUCGAAAGAUGAAAAGCACUUUGGAAAGAGAGUCAAACAGCACGUGAAAUUGUUGAAAGGGAAGCGCUUGCAGCCAGACUUGCUUACAGUUGCUCAUCCGGGUUUCUACCCGGUGCACUCUUCUGUAGGCAGGCCAGCAUCAGUUUGGGCGGUAGGAUAAAGGUCUCUGUCACGUACCUCCUUUCGGGGAGGCCUUAUAGGGGAGACGACAUACUACCAGCCUGGACUGAGGUCCGCGCAUCUGCUAGGAUGCUGGCGUAAUGGCUGUAAGCGGCCCGUCUUGAAACACGGACCAAGGAGUCUAACAUCUAUGCGAGUGUUUGGGUGUCAAGCCCGAGCGCGUAAUGAAAGUGAACGGAGGUGGGAACCCGCAAGGGUGCACCAUCGACCGAUCCUGAUGUCUUCGGAAGGAUUUGAGUAAGAGCAUGGCUGUUGGGACCCGAAAGAUGGUGAACUAUGCUUGAAUAGGGUGAAGCCAGAGGAAACUCUGGUGGAGGCUCGCAGCGGUUCUGACGUGCAAAUCGAUCGUCAAA
Molecule: ribosomal RNA, 834 nt
Filed under: Alternaria sp.
Lineage: Eukaryota; Fungi; Ascomycota; Dothideomycetes; Pleosporales; Pleosporaceae
Description: eukaryotic LSU rRNA
Rfam family: Eukaryotic large subunit ribosomal RNA
Source: RNAcentral